RNAcentral lists this long non-coding RNA (1571 nucleotides) under Capsicum annuum. RNAcentral describes it as "long non-coding RNA (CANN_LNC007537)". Lineage: Eukaryota; Viridiplantae; Streptophyta; Magnoliopsida; Solanales; Solanaceae. The record is from RNAcentral.
CAACAGCUUCGUGAAAGUCAGGUAUCAUAUGCUUUUCUCUAUGUUUAUUCUUCGUCAAAUCAAAUAAUAAAAUUUGUGUUUAUGCUCAUGUUGUCGUAUUAUCUUUUAUGUGUUCAUUGCUACAACACUUGAGCCGAGAGUCUUUCGGAAUCAACUACUCUACCACUAAGGAAAUCUGUUAAAUCCGAUGCAGACCGGGUGUAAUUAUAUAAAAGAAAGUAUGAAAAUUAGUAUAAGCUUCGAAAAACCACGCAGGAAACCAAGAAGAUAGCUGACUCCUUUGGUUUUCAGGGGGAACCUUAAAGCCUUGGGUGUCAGUAUGUGCGUUCGAACCUCACGAGCACCCACGGCCCCUAAAUCCUGGGUCUGCCACGGUAAGCUAAGGGUAUUGUUGUUGUUGUUGUUGUUGUUUUGUGUUUAUCCAUAUGUUGUAUGCAUAACUUCUUCGGGUUGUGCGCUCCUUUAAUUUCCUUGUCAAAACAUGGCAUGGCACAUCAAUAAGGUUUGUAGCUCUGGACAGACUUAGGGAGAUUAUAGGAUGUAUUGAGUUUAAUGAAACUCAGUGAGAAAUUUUUUGUUGGAUCUGUUUGUUGCUGCUGUUGUGCUGAUUGUUCAGCUGAGCUUCUUAAGGAACAAACUCUUCACACCACACACCACCGAAAUGCGUAAAUUUUAAAACUUUUUCCCAAAUAGGUUCUAAUUUCUCAGUAAUAUCUUUAUCGCAUUAGUUUUCUAUAUAUAUACCUCAUAUAUUUGAAAUAUUGCUACAUUUUCUAAAAUUAGCUGGAUUUGAAAUGAAACUUGGCUGCUGGCAGGUUUCUUUAUCAAUGAUAGAUAAAGGAACUCAAAUUGUUUUUCCAGAGCUUUAUAUUUAUAUACAGAUAUUCAUGGCUUUUCUUUGUCUUUUUUAUUGUAUAAUUUCUGUCAUAUAGUUUAACUUUUCUUGUAGUUGAUAGUGUUCUGAUAUGCACGAUUAUGUCAGAAUUGCGGGAAAGAUUGAAUCUGCUUGAUGAAUAUGCUAUACCGACAAGCAAAUACUUUCUUGGAUACUUGCCUGAGACAACUUCUGCAUUUUUUUUUUUCAAAGCUUACUUCUCACAAGAUGUUUGUCUCUAAUUGGUUUACUUUUAGGACGACGAAGCUCCCUUGUGUUCAUUUUAGGACACUAAAUAUGAGGUCAAUGAGAUUCUCAAAGUUAAUGGAGAUGAGUGCGGCAUUUACUUAAUCUUCUAUAUUACCUUUACUGUUACAAAUGGUGAGAAGGAAUAUUUUCAAGCUAAGGUGGUGCGACGUGUAGGUGGAUCUUUGCGUUUCUCAAUUGUUAGGCCAAGGGUAAUGAAAUCUGCUAUACAUGUCUUUUGUCAUCUAGUAAUUCGUUCUUCCUUUGGUUUAUUUUUAAUUGUUAUUCUAACUCUCUCUCUCUCUUGUGCUUUUAUGUAGGCGAAUGGAGCUUUGGGCAUAUAGUGGAUGUGACGUUUGUGCAUUGUUUUGCCUCGGGUUCAAGCUUUAGUUUUGCGUUAACAGCUCUUGUCAAUGUUGGACACUGUUUCUAGUAAAUUGUGCCUUUGUUU